This 253-nucleotide ribosomal RNA is filed under the name uncultured bacterium. RNAcentral's name for it is "partial 16S ribosomal RNA". It matches the Rfam family "Bacterial small subunit ribosomal RNA", at positions 524 to 776 of the family's 1533-position model. The record is from RNAcentral.
UACGUAGGGUGCAAGCGUUAAUCGGAAUUACUGGGCGUAAAGCGUGCGCAGGCGGUUGUGCAAGACAGAUGUGAAAUCCCCGGGCUCAACCUGGGAAUUGCAUUUGUGACUGCACGGCUAGAGUGUGUCAGAGGGGGGUAGAAUUCCACGUGUAGCAGUGAAAUGCGUAGGGAUGUGGAGGAAUACCGAUGGCGAAGGCAGCCCCCUGGGAUAACACUGACGCUCAUGCACGAAAGCGUGGGGAGCAAACAGG